RNAcentral lists this ribosomal RNA (602 nucleotides) under uncultured fungus. Its description in RNAcentral is "SSU rRNA". It matches the Rfam family "Eukaryotic small subunit ribosomal RNA", at positions 381 to 994 of the family's 1831-position model. The record is from RNAcentral. Lineage: Eukaryota; Fungi.
UUCCGGAGAGGGAGCCUGAGAAACGGCUACCACAUCCAAGGAAGGCAGCAGGCGCGCAAAUUACCCAAUCCCGACACGGGGAGGUAGUGACAAUAAAUACUGAUACAGGGCUCUUUUGGGUCUUGUAAUUGGAAUGAGUACAAUUUAAAUCCCUUAACGAGGAACAAUUGGAGGGCAAGUCUGGUGCCAGCAGCCGCGGUAAUUCCAGCUCCAAUAGCGUAUAUUAAAGUUGUCGCAGUUAAAAAGCUCGUAGUUGAACCUUGGGCCUGGCUGGCCGGUCCGCCUCACCGCGUGCACUGGUCCGGCCGGGCCUUUCCUUCUGGGGAGCCGCAUGCCCUUCACUGGGUGUGUCGGGGAACCAGGACUUUUACUUUGAGAAAAUUAGAGUGUUCCAAAGCAGGCCUAUGCUCGAAUACAUUUAGCAUGGAAUAAUAGAAUAGGACGUGUGGGUUCUAUUUUGUUGGUUUCUAGGACCGCGUAAUGAUUAAUAGGGAUAGUCGGGGGCUUCAGUAUUCAAUUGUCAGAGGUGGAAUUCUUGGUUUAUUGAAGACUAAUUAUUGGAAAGCUUGGCAGGUGUUUCAUUAUCAGUGAACGAAGUAGGG